GCAGGUAUAGUUAAAUGGUAUAACAUCUGGUUCCCAACCAGACAUUGAGGGUUCGAUUCCCUUUACUUGCUCCA
This 74-nucleotide transfer RNA is filed under the name Proteiniclasticum sp. RNAcentral's name for it is "tRNA-Gly". It matches the Rfam family "tRNA". From Rfam's summary of the family: Transfer RNA (tRNA) molecules are approximately 80 nucleotides in length. Their secondary structure includes four short double-helical elements and three loops (D, anti-codon, and T loops). RNAcentral also lists the same sequence under 1 other name. The record is from RNAcentral. Lineage: Bacteria; Bacillati; Bacillota; Clostridia; Eubacteriales; Clostridiaceae.